Molecule: ribosomal RNA, 143 nt
Filed under: uncultured eukaryote
Lineage: Eukaryota
Description: partial 18S ribosomal RNA
Rfam family: Eukaryotic small subunit ribosomal RNA
Source: RNAcentral
UGGUGGAGCGAUUUGUCUGGUCAAUUCCGAUAACGAACGAGACUCUAGCCUACUAAAUAGUUCGGGGACCCCCACAAAGGGGCCCCGCUUCAACUUCUUAGAGAGACAGGUGGCGUUUAGCCACACGAGAUUGAGCAAUAACA